Molecule: long non-coding RNA, 1418 nt
Organism: Gossypium raimondii (Peruvian cotton)
Lineage: Eukaryota; Viridiplantae; Streptophyta; Magnoliopsida; Malvales; Malvaceae
Exons: 2
Source: RefSeq, a predicted model, not a curated record
UUCAUUUUCCAAACACUGUCCCACUCUCAUCUAAAACCUCCACCACAUCCUUGACGUAUUACAGGUUUUCCCUCAGCUAGUGCAUAGGCACUAGAUUCAUCCCGUUCUUCUUCUCCAUUAUUGAGUGGUCCUUGGAUAAGGCGUCUAGUUGCAUCUUCCCCAGGAUUUGAUCAACUCACCGUUUCUAACCACCCAUCUCUGCCCUUGUUUUAAUAGCCCAGAGCCUAUCGCUUUCUUUUUAUAUUGUGCCACCCUAAUUUCACCCUGAAAGCAGUAUGUUUAGACUUAGAGUCUUUGAUCCCCAAGUCUACCACCGUGCUUUUCUGUUUUGGCCGUCUUCCAAUUAAUGAGGUGUAGUUUCGAGUUAUACGCCUUGUAUUGUAGGCGAAAGCAAGUUAGCUUUCUAACCACACUAAGUUCAGUUCUCACUUUUGUCCACAAUCAAGUUGUAGUUUGGCUUUGUUACCCUCUUUGUGUCAAUGGGAAACUAAACCCUCAAACUCUCAAUGCAAAGGGCGUUGCAAAUAGUAUAAUAAUACAUCACAAUGUUUACUUUUCGUUGGGAUUAAGACAAAGGCAUAUAUGUUUGGUUUCAUGAAGGUGAAGUUUAUGUUUGUUCUUUUGUUAGCUAUGAAUUGCCUAGUGCAUUAGUUUUAGUUCAUCAAAGAACUGAACUGAUCAUAAAUAUGUUUCUCCAUUUGAUCUUGCAUGUAGUCUAGUCCCCAACUCCUGAGGAUGUAUUUUGUUAUAUUUGAGGAAGGUUUCCCAAUACUGAUUCAGCAUUUCUGAUCUGGCACGGGGAAUUGUGGAUUUGAACAGAGGUGGCAUGUCUAGCUGUUUAUGCUGGGACAUAUAUUAGAAUCAUUGCUUCAUUCCCAUUCGAGUUUGGUUCUUGGGACAUAUUUGGAGUUUUAAAAGUUGCAUAAUUUCACAAGAAAUGCGUGGAAUAGUGGCUUCAUAUAGAGUUAUAUAGCCUAGAAGUUAGGGGGGAAUGACAAGAAACUCAUUUGGGAAGGCACCCCGAGCAGUGUAAGAGGUUGCCAUGAAUCAUGAUAGCCUCAUCAUGCAACGUAACUUCGGUGGGACAGGAAAGAGUCGAAGCUACGAGUAUGGAGAUGGAUACGGAAAGAACAACAAACCCAGGAGGAGGUGCAUGCAUACCCAAUCUCUGUAGUUAAAAUGCCCAGCUGGAUCCCUGCUUCACAUCCCCAUAAUACUUGUUAUAUAUUCUUGUAAUAUUUAAAGUAGCUUGCAGUUAACAUUAAGGAUUCUUGAACUCUAUCGACAUUGGAGGCUUAAAUCUUUUUAUAACUAGACAAUAAGCUUAAUCUCUGUAUAACUAUUGAGACGUGGAAUCUAAAUCUAGUUGAAGAAGCUCAAAAGAUGACAGUAUAAACUAGUUGACUUAAUUCCUACCA